Molecule: ribosomal RNA, 500 nt
Filed under: uncultured bacterium
Lineage: Bacteria
Description: partial 16S ribosomal RNA
Rfam family: Bacterial small subunit ribosomal RNA
Source: RNAcentral
AUUGAACGCUGGCGGAAUGCUUUACACAUGCAAGUCGAACGGCAGCACGGACUUCGGUCUGGUGGCGAGUGGCGAACGGGUGAGUAAUGUAUCGGAACGUGCCCAGUCGUGGGGGAUAACGUAGUGAAAAUUACGCUAAUACCGCAUACGAUCUAUGGAUGAAAGCGGGGGAUCGCAAGACCUCGCGCGAUUGGAGCGGCCGAUAUCAGAUUAGGUAGUUGGUGGGGUAAAGGCCCACCAAGCCAACGAUCUGUAGCUGGUCUGAGAGGACGACCAGCCACCCUGGAACUGAGACACGGUCCAGACUCCUACGAGAGGCAGCAGUGGGGAAUUGUGGACAAUGGGCGAAAGCCUGAUCCAGCCAUUCCGAGUGCAGGAUGAAGGCCCUCGGGUUGUAAACUGCUUUUGUACAGAACGAAAAGGUUUCUACUAAUACUAGGAGCUCAUGACGGUACUGUAAGAAUAAGCACCGGCUAACUACGUGCCAGCCGCCGCCGUAA